AUGCACUUGGACGCUUCAAGGAUCUUGUGGCAUGUACUAAUGGACUAGUUUCUAUACUGGCUAUACUUAUUCUCCAUUAGCCCAAGCAUAUCAGGAAAUUUAGUAUUCAAGACUCACCAAUCUUUGCUAAACGGUCAGAUAAGGGAGUCAACCUUUUAGCUUCUCUAUGCUAGAAAAUAUGAUGCCUCAGAGGGAAAACUGCG
Long non-coding RNA from Zingiber officinale, 203 nucleotides. RefSeq lists it as uncharacterized. The transcript has 3 exons. The record is from RefSeq and is a predicted model, not a curated record. NCBI's taxonomy places the organism in Eukaryota, Viridiplantae, Streptophyta, Magnoliopsida, Zingiberales, Zingiberaceae.